GGAGAGGUAGCGAAGCGGCCGUAACGCGCCCGACUCGAAAUCGGGUUAUCGGUUAGUCCCGAUACGUGGGUUCGAAUCCCACCCUCUCCGCCA
Molecule: transfer RNA, 93 nt
Filed under: Candidatus Desulfovibrio trichonymphae
Lineage: Bacteria; Pseudomonadati; Thermodesulfobacteriota; Desulfovibrionia; Desulfovibrionales; Desulfovibrionaceae
Also listed under: 1 other name
Description: tRNA-Ser
Rfam family: tRNA
About the family: Transfer RNA (tRNA) molecules are approximately 80 nucleotides in length. Their secondary structure includes four short double-helical elements and three loops (D, anti-codon, and T loops).
Source: RNAcentral